CACCACCUCCUGGUGAGGACGAACACCCUUGGCUGUAUCUACAAUAAAUGUUUUAUUUUCUCGGAAUAAAGGAUUCAUCCUACCGGAUAAAAUGUCUGUUAUGUUUAACAAAAGUUCAGGAAAUACUAGCGUUCAAGAACUCGCCGUCGAACCUAAAAAACACAUUGAGAGAAAGCAUGUAUACAAUCUUAAGUAUGGAGAACUGACUGCAAACACACUGAAGAGAGAACAUGCCCCUAAGACUCCUUCCACCAUCAAGCAGAGCACAUUACUGAAGACAGUGUCACAGGAAUCCAUCGACAAAGAUGUGGUGAAGUAUGUGGUCCAAGGGCUCCAACCAUUCGAUGUUGUAGAACAAGAACCAUAAAGAGAGUUUGUCCAUUAUCUGCAGCUUAACUCAAAUAUCUUAUCAAGGCCCCCACUGCGCUUCAGGAUUGAAGCCUCCAAGGAAAUGAAGAAGAAGGUGACUGAGGCCAUGAGAGGAGUUGACCAAAUCGCCACCACUGACUGCUGGUCUGCAAGAAGCCGGAGCUUCAUUGGUGUUACAGCCCACAAGAUAGACCCUGACAGUCUCAACACAUGCUCUGCAGCCCUGGCCUGUAAACUGUUGAGAAGAUUGCACACCUUUGAUGUGUUGGCAGGCGCCCUAAAUGACAUCCAUUUUGAGUUUGAAAUCUGAGUUAAGAUUGUGAGAACAACAACAGACAAGGGCUCUGACUUCUUGAAAGCUUUCCCAGUUUUUGGAGAAGAUUAAAACAACGAGGCAGUGUGUGGUGAAGCAGCUCAGACAGGACAGGAAGAUGGUGAAGAGGAACAAGAAGAGAGUGAAGAAGUGGAGUUUGUUGAUGUGGCAACGAUCCUGAAGCACUGUGCUUGCCACCUACUCAACUUAGUGUCUACAGUUGAUGCCCUGAAAGCAACAUUCAGUGAGGCUUACAAAAAAGUGUCCCGUUCAACAUUUGGCAAGUGCCAGCACUUUGGAACAAAUGCGGAAGAUCCACACUUGCAGCCGAAAAGGUUGAAGAUGCUAGCGCCUUCCAGCUGCUGUGCCUGAAUGCUACAAGGUGGAACUCCUGGUUCAUGACUGUAGAAAGACUCCUGAGGAUCGUCAAAGACAAAGGAGAGGCAGUCGUCUGAGUUCUCUGCAAAGACUUCCGAGGUUCAAUGCAUCUGAACUCACCUUCCUCACAGAGUAUGCUGCCACCAUGAGCCCAGUCGCAAAGGCCAUCAACAUCCUGCAGGCUGAAACCAAUGCCCAGAUGGGGUGGCUACUUCCAACUAUCAACCUGCUGAUCACAAAACCGAAUCAAGUUGUCCCUGAAGUACAGUAAGCCUCUGGUGGAUGCGCUACAACUGGGACUGAAGAAGCACUUCGGCCAGAAUGUUUCACGACCCUGAGCUGAUACCAGCUGCAAUCCUUCUCCCCAAAUUCAAAACAACGUCAACAAAGGAUGACGCCACCAUUAGAAUGGGAAUGGACUACAUCAAGGACCACCUGGAAGAACCCUUGCUGCAGCUGGGUUAUGGCACCAGUUCAUCAGAUGAGGAUGACUUCUCUGCCAUGAAAACAUCUCAAGCAUAAGAAAGCUCCAAACAGCUGGACGAAUACCUGGCCUGUUCAGCUGAUCAUAUGGCGUUCCUUCCCGGCAGUGUCAGUGAUUGUAAGUUCUUACGUGUACUGGCUAUAUUCCUUCAUUAUUAAGGCAUAAUUCAAUUUUGUCUGUAAGAGAUGUAUUUUGAAGUGUUUCCUAUUUGAGAAUCCACAUUUAUUUAUUUAUCUGAGCUCUUCUUGCAUCCGUAAGUAAGACUGUUACCUUUAGAAAAGCUCAAACUGAAUAAAAGUUUUUUAUGCUUUUUGUG
Molecule: long non-coding RNA, 1860 nt
Organism: Oncorhynchus nerka (sockeye salmon)
Lineage: Eukaryota; Metazoa; Chordata; Actinopteri; Salmoniformes; Salmonidae
Exons: 4
Source: RefSeq, a predicted model, not a curated record